ACACAAGAAACCAGGUAGACGUGCGGACUUCUGCCCUGAGAGCCCUUCAUGGUGUACUGAGAGGAAGAAACUAAAAUAAAUCCUUCCUUGCUCACAUUGCUUCUGGCCAUGGUGUUGAGCAAAGCAGUAACAAGGAAAGAGAACACUUAGGAAGCAGCUCUGCUGUCAGGGCAACAGAUGGGUGAACACACAGGGGCUGAAGAACACAGCGCGAACUGGGCUGGAGCCCCGACUGCAUGUGAUCAUCUCCACAGCCCACAGGAGGAAAUGGAGGACCCCUAUGCCCUGCCUUUUCAUCUGGUCAUACUUCAGGAGGAAUUUCCACACAAGGGGCAAUGAGACCUUAUUCCUGACCACUUCUUUACCAGUGAAGACAGCCAUUUGGAUUAUGUAGAGCUGGAAUGAGAACGGCCCUCAUAGGGAAUUUACAAACUUCUCAAAACACAAAGAAUAGUUUUCCAUGUGUGCAAUAGAAGAUCUACAGAGAAACUGUCCAUGACCUCAGACUUUCUCCCACAUUAAGGCAGAAACGCUUACAUGUUUCUAGGCAAUGCAGCAGGUGCCUGUUGGACAUCCAGCAUUUCAGGUCAUUGCAGAACCUGUAUCCACUACAGUAGGCAUGCGUACCUGUUCUUCCUCUCCCUAGUUCAGUGGCUCUCAACCUUCCCAAUGCUGUGACCCUUCAAUACAGUUUCUCGUGUUGUGGUGACUCCAACCAUAAAAUUAUUUCAUUGCUACUUCAUAACUGUAAUUUUGCUGUUUUGAAUUGUGAUGUAAAUAUCUGAUAUGCGACCUCUGUGAAAGGGUCAUUCAAUUCCCAAAGGGGUUGCAACCCACAGGUUGAAAAGCACUGCCCUAGUGACUGGUCAAGUUCAGCAAUACUCCAGACCCUGUGUCCUGAGGGGUUCUUUUGUUAUUGCAGUUGUUGUGAGCUUCUUUUUCCUCUUCCUCCUCCCUCUUCUCCUUCUCCUCCUCCUUCUUCUUCUUCCUCCUCCUUCCUUCUUUUACUCCUCUUUCACCUCUUCUUCUUCUUCCAAGUUAACACAAGUUACAAUCAUAUGAGAGAGGGGCCCUCAACUGAGAAUAUGCUCCCAGUAGAUUGCUUGUAAGGCAAAUCUGUAGGGCAUUUCCUUGGUUGAUAAUUGAUGUGGAAGGGCCCCACCCACUGCGGGUGGGGCCAUACUUGGACAGACAGUCCUGGGUUCAAUAAGAUAGUAGUCAGAAUAAGCUAUGAAGAACAAGCCAGUAAGCAGGCAGUAUCCUCCAUGGCUCUGCAUCAGUUCUUGCUUCUAGGUUUCCCACUUUCUGUUCCCACCACCAUCUCCCUCAGUUGCUGGGGUAUGGAAGUGGAAAAUUGAGUUUUCUUUGGAAAGUCAGUUGUAUUGAAUGGUAUUUUGCUGGGGCAAACACCUGGUGUGCCACAGCUUCUUGCCGUUUUCAAGGACGUAGACUGAUUGGCAGAGUGAUGUCAGCUGAGACAGAUGCAAGUGCUGAGGGAAGCCCAUGAUGUUUGGAGGGAAUGUAAAAAGGACUCAAUGAACAGUGAUGGAGGCUGACCUUGGCUUGCUUAUUGAGCUAGCUGUGCAAUGCUUGUGGGUCUUGCAUCUUUGCUGAUCUUCACUUUGCUGAGAGAGGCACAGCCAAGAACUUUUCCUGGUGUUCCUGUUGGCCCUGGUCCCUCCUGCUGACUCCUGCCAAGGCUGAGGCUUAGCUGUCGUUGCUAGGCAGUACCACAAUCACUGCUGAUUUGUGUUCGCUAUCCCGACUCUACCUAACUGGACUGCUGGUGUAUCUGUGAAGCGUUUGCGAUCCGAUCAAGCUGCUGCUGCUGACCUGUGAACUGAACUGCCAAUUUCCAGACGACGCAGACGGGAGCUGCUCCAACGAACCUUUCUAAACAGGUCCACUUCCCCCGCACCCUUUCUUUCCCAUGACCUCUGGUGGGUGGUGGGCUACAAGGGAGGUUAAAGCAUUUAAGGACCAUCAUUAAAAAUAGGAUUUGAAAAAAUUAAAUUUAGUCAUGGUGUUCAUUGCAGCAACAGAAUCCCUAACUAUGACACCCUGAAUUGGAAACCAUGUGUUGCCACUUGAGGAAGAACUUACUGUGGAGAGAUGCGAUGGAUGCCAACUCCAGAGACUUAA
Molecule: long non-coding RNA, 2142 nt
Organism: Mus musculus (house mouse)
Lineage: Eukaryota; Metazoa; Chordata; Mammalia; Rodentia; Muridae
Product: predicted gene, 53908
Exons: 3
Source: RefSeq, a predicted model, not a curated record